Aedes aegypti (yellow fever mosquito) is the source of this 97-nucleotide non-coding RNA. NCBI's taxonomy places the organism in Eukaryota, Metazoa, Arthropoda, Insecta, Diptera, Culicidae. The record is from Rfam.
UGCCCAGCUACUCCUAUGCCUACCUCCUCAUGGUACUGGCCGGAGUACGAGUAACCGGUGGGAACUGGGAACUUUGGUCGUAUGCUGAAAGGGAAGG